UUACAAUUAAUUUUCAUUACCGACUAUAAUGAGCAGUACCUACAAUCCAUUUUUUCUGCAGAAUUUUAUGUUUUUAAGAGGCUGAAAAACACAUUCAUGCCUAUGGAAUAGUGUGACGUCAUCACCAUCAGAGGGACCGUCUACAAAUUACAUGAUUCUUUUAUGGUGCAGAAACUUGAGGCUGUCGGAUACAAGCCAAUUUUAUUUAUUGGGAAACAGGACAAAAGGGCUUCAAAUAAGUGGGUGGCAGAUAUUAUCACACAUCUGCACCCCACUCCUGUCACCAAAUUUUUUUUGGAGAAGAUGCGGACGGCUUAUGAGUAUCUUAACAAAAGCAACCUCCACAGCACAGCAGCCGGAGAGCGUCACCGCGGAGCAGCCGGAGAGCCUCACCAAGCAGUCUGAAACUGUAUUUGUUCUCAAUCUUGUUCCUGUGUCUUUCUCACUCUCUCCAACCUCUCUCUCCUCCUUCCUCUGCUACUUCUACAACUGUUCUUCCUUCACUUUCUUCCCCUCCUCCACCUCCACUGCGGCAGAGGAAAAGAAGGUUAAACACCUUUACCGCGUCACACUCUACCACCCCUGUCUCUCCUCCAUAUCCAUCUGCCUCUUCCAUUUCCAAGCCUUUGAGUCAGGAGGUGCCACUGGUUAAGAACAGAAGAAAAGGUUGUCGAAAAUGUAGUAGGCAGAAGGUUUUCCUUUUUGAUAAAAUAACUGGGGAACGAAUAAAUGAGGGGAAAGCUGAAUUGAAAGUUCACUGGUUGCCUUGCACUGAGUGUGGCAAAACCUGGGAUGACACGUGGGAGCCUGCGAGUGAAUUCCAACACAUUGUGCCAAAGCAUUGUCCCAACCAGCUUUCAGCAUGACAACAGUCACCAUAAACACCUGGACUCAUCAAGCACCCUUCAAUGCAGUUUAUUUUUGAGUGUUUUUGCUUGCUGUUCUUCAGUAAAGUUUUUGCACAGUACCCAGUCUCUUUUAGUGUUUAGUUUCUUACAGUUGUCAUCUUAAAAACUUUUUGCAUUUGUCUUGAACUGCUUAACAGUGUGCCUUGUGAGAUCAUAAGUUUGUUGUCCAUGAGCAUAAGCUCAUAAAUACCAAAAAAUAU
This is a long non-coding RNA of Cyprinus carpio carpio, 1108 nucleotides long. The record is from Ensembl. Lineage: Eukaryota; Metazoa; Chordata; Actinopteri; Cypriniformes; Cyprinidae.